This 29-nucleotide non-coding RNA is filed under the name Mus musculus (house mouse). The record is from RNAcentral. Lineage: Eukaryota; Metazoa; Chordata; Mammalia; Rodentia; Muridae.
UGCUUAGCUCAAGUAACAAUGAAAGGUAC